GACGAACGCUGGCGGCGUGCUUAACACAUGCAAGUCGAACGGUAAGGCCCUUCGGGGUACACGAGUGGCGAACGGGUGAGUAACACGUGGGUGAUCUGCCCUGCACUUCGGGAUAAGCUUGGGAAACUGGGUCUAAUACCGGAUAGGACCACGGUCUGCAUGGAUUGUGGUGGAAAGCUUUUGCGGUGUGGGAUGGGCCCGCGGCCUAUCAGCUUGUUGGUGGGGUGAUGGCCUACCAAGGCGACGACGGGUAGCCGGCCGUGAGAGGGUGUCCGGCCACACUGGGACUGAGAUACGGCCCAGACUCCUACGGGAGGCAGCAGUGGGGAAUAUUGCACAAUGGGCGCAAGCCUGAUGCAGCGACGCCGCGUGGGGGGAUGACGGCCUUCGGGUUGUAAACCGUCUUUC
This 408-nucleotide ribosomal RNA is filed under the name uncultured bacterium. Its description in RNAcentral is "bacterial SSU rRNA". It matches the Rfam family "Bacterial small subunit ribosomal RNA", at positions 28 to 437 of the family's 1533-position model. The record is from RNAcentral.